RNAcentral lists this long non-coding RNA (5883 nucleotides) under Nothobranchius furzeri (turquoise killifish). RNAcentral describes it as "lncRNA (ENSNFUG00015019672.1)". Lineage: Eukaryota; Metazoa; Chordata; Actinopteri; Cyprinodontiformes; Nothobranchiidae. The record is from RNAcentral.
AUGGAAAUAUUCUCUGCAUCCGGAGUGCUAACUGUGACCGAUGAGGAUCACCAGAACCACGAGUGUGGGUCUCUGGAAGGAUCUGCUCAUUUACCGACAAAAGGCACAGAUGAAAGGAAAAGAAGAACGACAGAGAAGCAGAAGAACAGAAAGCAAGAGGAAGAUGUUACAAAGCAGAAGAGCAAAGAUGGAUGUGGAGAAAAAGAGGUGAAGGAUGUAAGAAAUGCUGAAGAAAUGCGUACUACCGAUGCACAAACAGAUGGAACCGACAUGUCCGAGGGUGCCGAGGGGUCAUCAAACGCAGCAGGGGAGACCAGUGCCCCUGAAACAGAAAUAAGAGAUAAAGGAGAGCGAGAAUUGACAGAUGGAGUGAAAGAGGGAGGACAGACAGCAGAAAGUCCAGAAACACAGAUACAGGCUCUCAAAACCACUGAUAGGACUCAGAAGAGCCUCUCUCUGCAGGUCAAUGACUUCAUGGACACCGAGCCGCCUCUGGCUGUUUGUGAGUUUUCAAACUCCUCAAAAAAUCUGCCGCAGAUAAUCACCGACAAGCAUGCAGACUGUAACCGUCCAGGCAGGGAGCGCACAGUCGAUGGAAAAGUCAACGGAUUUGGUUUGGAUGAACACCAAAGUGUCAGCAGCGUGCCAGAACCUGAUGCUGAAGCUGCACACCCUGACUCACCUGUCGAGGUUCAAACUGUGCAUCAGGACCCCGAGCGCUCAGACCUGGAACACGAGAAAACAUCCACGGAAAUGUCCGGUUAUUUUCCCGCUGAAGGGCCAAGCCCAUGCACCUCUCAAACUCCGCAAAGCCACAACAUCCAAGAGAGCGAAACGAACCCAACUCAGACUGAACAUUGUGAUCCUCGUGCUGUUGUCGCCGUGGAGACAACAAAGGAAAUGUUUGGCGCGGAUGAGGAGAGCGUUUCAGUGACAAACAUGGCCGAAGCUCAAAGUCUCGAAGCCUCAGAGAAGCAGGAACGCGUGCAGCUCAGGUCUGUGGUGGAUGAAGAUGGAAGGAGUGAAAGCAGCACCUGUGAGUCUGCAGAGAGAGCUGCAGCAAAGGAGGACGUGGAGGAGCAAAGCAAAACUGAUCAAGGCUCAGGAGGUGGAGAGGGUACCAAAAAUGAUGCUGAUCCAAAGAUUUCCCAUCAGCAAAGUGGUGAAACCGCUGAAUCAUCAGAACCUGGAAGAUCGAAGAAUCAACCCCUAAAGCAGAAGAGACCUACCGAUUCUGCUGAGUUGUCGCAGAUCUCCAGGUCACUGUUUGACUGGACCGCUCAGAGGAAAACGUUCAGUGACUUCUCCGUCCUGCACGAGUUUACUCAGGGAACUCAUCUGUCUGGACGUCCGCUCGAUUCAGCCCCCGUGUUCUCCAAAACCAAACACGACAAAGGUGGUGGUUAUCAACGUUAUGAAGUUUUGCACAUAGAUGGUUCUUAACGUACGUCGUCAUUUUCAGCUCAGCAAAUGAUCACCAAGGCGUCGGACCUGUUCAGCACCUUCGGUGUCUCCGCGGCUGCAAGUCUCUCAAAGAGUCAACGGCGGGGGAGAGGAGUGAUGGAAGAGACCUGCAGAGAAACGGCAGAGAAGGUCAGUGCUUCUGAAGGGUAAAAGCUGCACAGACACACGUGCCGUGGUGUCUUUAUUAUAAAAAAACAACCCUGAGUUACUACAGCUGAGAUUAGAGAGUAAGCAGCAGCCUUGUGCUGCUAACUGAUCACCAGUAAGUCUGAGCUCCCAACUGUGCUGGUCUGGAGCAUACAGGUGUGUGUAAACUCAGUCAGAAGGUGGGAACUGCUCAUCCAUUAGGAAGAAAGGUCAUUUUCGAAAAAAUCUGGACUUAAUUCCAACAGCAGGUCUGGAUGUCCCAGCAAAUUCCAGGUCUAAACCUCCAGGUCAGAGGUCACUGUUCAGGGAAAGGACCGAAAACACCUCAAAAAGUCCAUCUGACGCCGGGCCGCUGAAGCGCCGCGAAAUUGGGGCCGCCUUCAUUCGGCGCCCUUGUUAUCCUACUCUAUAGACCACAUGGGCCGCCGAAGCGCCGUGCGCUCCAGCCCACGCCGUGCAGCGAUCGUUUCGGCGUCGGCUCUAUUUUUUCCGCGAGCCGCGGGUGAACCUUGUCGAUUCUGUCAGGAAGUCAAACCUAGACAUAAGAGGCAGGCCGGUAAAUUUAACAAAAUAAAGCAUUUCUAAAUACGAUUCUGCGAUAGUCCAAUGUGUUCAUAAACAGACGCUGCACACACACACACACACACACACACACACACACACACAGCGAACUUGUGUGUGUGUGACCACGUGAAGGGGGUGUGGUUUUGGGUGUCUUGCAACCGGAGCAAACAGGACAGAGAGGCAGAAAGUCGUAGGCCAGCUAUUAAUAACUGGUACACACCAGAGGUUCACACACACACACACACACACACACACACACACACACACACACACACACACACACACACACACACACACAAACAGAAAGGGGGAGGGAGGGGGGGGGUGUCGAGGAAAAGAGCAGAGAAAAGGCUGAGAGGAAAUGGACGACACCAAGUGGUUAAAAGAAAAACUACGAGGCGCGCCUCGACCGGAGCGAAGAAACAAGCGUCUGGUCUGAACUGAGGAGCAGCGGCCGAAUUUCGUGAGCGCUUCGCCUCCCGGCGCUUCAGCGGCCGGUGUAUCCCCGGCGUUAGAGUUUGCUGGACUCAGUUAGCAGGGGUAAGGUUAAAGUUCAUGACAGCAUGGUAUGGUUGCACUACUGGAGGCCAGUUCUUAAAGCUUUAGGUCAUUCUUUUUGUGUUGUUCCUCUAAACGGGAAUAAAAUGAAAUGUGAAGUUAGGAUGAUUUUUAAAAGGUUCCUUCACUUGUUUUUUCACCAACUCUGCUGGUGGUCUCUAGCUUGAGUGAAUGCCUUGUGAGUCGUUUCCUUUGGAAAAAAGCUCGGGCCCACCUGUUUCAUUUUUUGGAGGAGUGGGAGGGUUAACAGGAUUAUGAGUCUUACUCAUUAAUAUUCAUGAUACGCAACAUCUAGCCUCUGAUUGGCUAACAGCAACAAGACUCUUCCACUGCCUUCAUUCGCAACGAUGAUGUUUUAUCUCAAUAAAAAACACGUGCUUCAGCGUGUUGCGCCAUGUUGUGGAGUUGCAAAUGCUAACGGUUAGCUUCUGCUAGCUGAGACGCUCUGCUCCCUCCAUCCCGUAGAAGGGGCCAUGAGUAUUCCUUUUCCCAGUGACGUAGAAGAGGCUGGCCUUUUCUUACCCAAUAGUUUUCCCGUCUGUUUCCCUUUUGCGGCUGAUGGAGGCGAGGGGGGUUUGAAGAAAACGUUCACGUUCAGCGUGCGUGUGAAACAAUCUCAUUUCAGAAAGAACGUGUUUUACAGUUUCUCAGGGAAACAUAUUUUUAAGAAUGUUUUUUCUUUUUUGCAAAGCCCAAACAAACAUGUUAAACAGAAUUCUCAGUCGUUAGUUGAUAGCUAGGCUUAAAACAUUUUUAUUUGAUAGGGCCUAUGGUUAAAAUCUGAUGUUAGCCCAGAUCUGGACAAGAGGGGGAGUAGAGGGAGGUGGAGUGUACAGUCGGUAAAGACGGCUCUCCUUUGCCCUGCCUCCAACAUGCCUCCAUCUAAAUAGGAUAGAUUAUCCAGAGUUAUCUCUGUAGUUAUGCUGCUAUAGGCUUAGACUGCUGGAGGAUACACUGACCACUUUUCACACUCGACUGCUUUCUUCUACAAUCUGCUCUUUAACUGUAUUAUUUCCUGCUAUUUCAGCUAUAAACUUUAUUUUCUCUCUAAGUGUUUUCUCCCCAGAAGAAGCUACAAUGAUGUUCUGCUGAGCUGUGGUGGCCUCAUGGAGGGGGCCGUCGUCUAGCACACUGCUGUUAACCACUUAAACAUUCUCCCUCUCCUGAUAAUAACUUUUUGUUUUCAUUGACUUUUGAUGUGCUACUACUAGUUUACCCGUUUAAUUAUAGAUUCACUAGGAUAAAUACAAUAAAGUUUAUCUCUCACCAAAUAGAAUAUUUACUAAGACAUCACAAUAUAACUAUAGACACAUUACUUGUCUUUGUGUGUGUGUGUGUGUGUGUGUGUGUGCGUGUGUGUGUGCGUGUGUGCGUGUGUGCGUGUGUGUGUGUGUGUGUGUGUGUGUGUGUGUGUGUGUGUGGNNNNNNNNNNNNNNNNNNNNNNNNNNNNNNNNNNNNNNNNNNNNNNNNNNNNNNNNUGGAGGUUUCUUCCUGUUAAAAGGGAGUUUUCCUCUCCACUGUCGCUAUAUGCUUGCUUAGUAUGAGGAUUGCUGUAAAGUCACUGACACUCGUCAGUGACUCGAUGCAAUUUGCUGGGGUCCUUAUAUAGGAAACAUUAUUUCUGAUUGGCUUAAUGAACUGACCUGGAUUGGAAUGUUUAUUAUGUGAAGUGCCUUGAGACGACUCUUGUCGUGAUUUGGCGCUAUAUAAAUAAACUUGAAUUGAAUUUGUUUUGAAUGUUCUCUUUGUCUGAGGCCUACUAGGUCCUGUGUUGAGUGAAAAAGCAUAGCUGAUCCACGUUGAGCUCAUAGUUGUCCUGUAACAGUCAGACAGGCAGAGAACGAAUGAUCUGUGGUUGAAAAUCCACCUAAUGAUGCUCGGGUACCGCUCCUCUCCCACUUACUCCAUCUCAAUCUGUCCCACUCUCCCCUCUCACUUCAUCAUUUGUCUCUCCACCCUUUUCUACCAUUUUCACUCUCAUUUUCUUUUGUCACUUUGCUGUCAUUCCAUGUUUUACACGAUCCAGGUGCUGGCAGUUGAGGGAGAAAAGCCCUGAUCCGAUAGUUGAACUAACGGCGGUGACGGCCGAAGCGUUUCAUUCUGUCUGCGGAGCGGAAACGCUGGGAGCGUCACGCAGAGUUCAGUCUGAGCCAGUCUGGCUCCUGUUACGUAUCAUUUGCCCCUGCGCUCGGCCCGAGCUCCAUCUGUUUAUCACAGUUACAUUUCCUCAAGAGGCACAGAAAAAUCCCCAAACCUUCAGCUGGUUUUCCACUACCAGCAGGCAGAACGCUGAGACGGCAGAAUCAGAGUUUUACUGUCUUUUGUUGUUGUCAUCCUCAGGACAGAACAUCUUCAGUGCUUUCCAUCUCCAGUUCUGCCAGUCAAGCCUCACAGCAACCCAGUUCAGAGUGAGUUCAGAGACACACACGAUGUUGAGAUGUCAUUUCAGCUGACGUUCAAAGACUCUAACAUUACACCAGAUUAGGUUUUAAAUAGUUUAAAAUUCAUUAUCGCCUGUAGAGCCACUGAGCUUUUAAAAAUACAUGACAUCAUUUCCUGUAGUUAGAUUUUUGGACAUUCAACAUGGCCGCCCUUUUAGCUCUGCUGUUGCAUCAUAUGUAAAUAUAUAACUAGUUUUUUCUUUUCUAAAUCUGAUGUAGCAGGACUUCCUGCUCACCUGUUGCUCCUGGGUCAGAGUUGGACCAGGAACCUUCCUGUUCCCUGGAGAGGGAUGACCAGCAGUCAUCACUGAGAGCACAGAUUUCCAAAAUCGAAGCGUUCCUCAACACAGAGAGGCUCCGACUGCCUAAAAGACGUCGGAUUGAGUCGCCAGACGUAUCCGGUUCUGUUCUAUGAAAUGACACAAGAGCCUACUGUUCCACAAGUUUGAUCAUUUUCAUUACCUUUAAACCCUCCAAAAGUUUCCCUUUUGUUAUAAAAAAGAUCUCAUGAUGACUGUGAGCUCUUCAGGUUUCUCUUCAGACUUCAGUUUGAGUCAGACUGACCCUUGGUUUAGAGUUCCUGUCCAUUUUGCAGCCUUACAGAUCAAAUAUGAGCUGUUGGGUGUGUGUGUGUGUGUGUGUGUGUGUGUGUGCGUGCGUGCGUGCGUGCGUGCGUGUGUGUGUGUGUGUGUGUGUGUGUGUGUGCGUG